RNAcentral lists this long non-coding RNA (246 nucleotides) under Homo sapiens (human). Its description in RNAcentral is "non-protein coding lnc-TOPBP1-3:1". Lineage: Eukaryota; Metazoa; Chordata; Mammalia; Primates; Hominidae. The record is from RNAcentral.
UAUUCAUAUUCCCACCACCCACAUUGUAAAAGUAACUAUUUUGUCAUAUUUGUUUCCUGUGUUUUCUUUCCCGUUCUUUUUUUUUUUUUUUUUUUGAGAUGGAGUUUCGCUCUUUUUGCCCAGGCUGGAGUGCAAUGGUGCAAUCUCGGCUCACCACAACCUCCGCCUCCUGGGUUCAAGCAAUUCUCCUAUCUCAUCCUCCCGAGUACAGGCGCCUGCCACCAUGCCUGGCUAAUUUUUUUUAUU